GCAUUUGUAGCUCAGCGCAGAGCGCCGGUCUUGUAAACCGGAUGUCGGAGGUUAAAGUCCCCCCUCUUGC
This 70-nucleotide transfer RNA is filed under the name Scomberomorus semifasciatus (broadbarred king mackerel). Its description in RNAcentral is "tRNA-Thr". It matches the Rfam family "tRNA". From Rfam's summary of the family: Transfer RNA (tRNA) molecules are approximately 80 nucleotides in length. Their secondary structure includes four short double-helical elements and three loops (D, anti-codon, and T loops). RNAcentral also lists the same sequence under 1 other name. Lineage: Eukaryota; Metazoa; Chordata; Actinopteri; Scombriformes; Scombridae. The record is from RNAcentral.